This 715-nucleotide long non-coding RNA is filed under the name Equus caballus (horse). Its description in RNAcentral is "lncRNA (ENSECAG00000048048.1)". Lineage: Eukaryota; Metazoa; Chordata; Mammalia; Perissodactyla; Equidae. The record is from RNAcentral.
GGCAGUUUCUUAAAAACAAACCAACCCACAAAAACAUAAUUUGGCUAGAGAGGCGGCCUAUUUUAAAGUAGGUGUGGCUAUAAAAUUCAAAGUGGGCAUUCAUAUAGGAAUUUAUUUUUGUGAGUAAUCUGAGGGUACAGACCGAGUCUCCUUCCUUCAGGAUUCUUUAGGAUUUCUGGGAUCAAGGAAUAACAAAAUAUCUACUGCAAUAGUGACCAACACCAACUAAACACCAUGAAGUGCUACACGCCACUGGAUGUGGUUUUAACUCUACGUGGUUAAGCAGACUAAAGUAAGACAGCACAUGUGCUCGCCAGCCAGACCACGGCCGCCGAGCCACAGAUAAGAGUCUGAGACAGGAAGAGGAAGCGCUAUCGUGGGGACCCGCAUUCCAGGUCUGCCCUGCAGACCCGGCCACCUUCGUUUCAGGGCACGGAAGCACGAGGAUUGAGGAUUCCGCACUGAGGAUAAUGGGGUGCUCCUCAAACUCUUAACUGACACACUGUCUCCCAUGUGGCUGUUGUUCUUUGAAUUCCUUUAGCGGGGAAUCCUGAAGGUGGAAGAGGGGAGUGUAGUUUAGGCCAUAAAAUAUCAUACUUCCAUGCAACCUUACCUUCAACUUUUAAGUUUCAAUUGUCAAAAAAAUCCUGAGAAGUAGGGCUUAUUAAACUUGUCAUAUCGAUGAGAGAACAGGCCCAGAGAGUUCUCUUGGCAA